RNAcentral lists this transfer RNA (63 nucleotides) under Empoascanara circumscripta. RNAcentral describes it as "tRNA-Thr". The record is from RNAcentral. Lineage: Eukaryota; Metazoa; Arthropoda; Insecta; Hemiptera; Cicadellidae.
GUUUUAAUAAUUUAAUAAAAAUAUUGAUUUUGUAAAUCAAACUUGAGUUGUUCUCUUAAAUCA